RNAcentral lists this ribosomal RNA (492 nucleotides) under uncultured bacterium. RNAcentral's name for it is "partial 16S ribosomal RNA". It matches the Rfam family "Bacterial small subunit ribosomal RNA", at positions 29 to 507 of the family's 1533-position model. The record is from RNAcentral.
AGUGAACGCUGGCGGUAGGCCUAACACAUGCAAGUCGAACGGCAGCACAGUAAGAGCUUGCUCUUACGGGUGGCGAGUGGCGGACGGGUGAGGAAUACAUCGGAAUCUACUUUUUCGUGGGGGUUAACGUAGGGAAACUUACGCUAAUAUCGCAUACGACCUAAGGGUGAAAGCAUGGGAUCUUCGGACCUUGCGCGAUUGAAUGCGCCGAUGUCGGAUUAGCUAGUUGGCGGGGUAAAGGCCCACCAAGGCGACGAUCCGUAGCUGGUCUGAGAGGAUGAUCAGCCACACUGGAACUGAGACACGGUCCAGACUCCUACGGGAGGCAGCAGUGGGGAAUAUUGGACAAUAGGCGCAAGCCUGAUCCAGCCAUACCGCGUGGGUGAAGAAGGCCUUCGGGUUGUAAAGCCCUUUUGUUGGGAAAGAAAAGCAGCAGGUUAAUACCCCGCUGUUCUGACGGUACCCAAAGAAUAAGCACCGGCUAACUUCGUG